Molecule: long non-coding RNA, 344 nt
Filed under: Pongo abelii (Sumatran orangutan)
Lineage: Eukaryota; Metazoa; Chordata; Mammalia; Primates; Hominidae
Description: lincRNA
Source: RNAcentral
GAAUCCAUUCCCAGGGAAAUUCUCACCACAUAGCACAUGAACACAGGUGCCAGGAUGCAGCUGCGCCUUCCUUUGUGAAGCAAAAACUUGGAAAUAUCCUUAAAAGUGAUUAAGUAAAUGAGAGUAUCAUCAUCUGUGCUCUGGAGUGCAAGACCACGGACUAUGGCUUUCUGGAUUCUCUGGUGACACCUGCUGACACAAAGGGAUACUGCAGCCCAGGCUGGAAGAGGAAAUUUGGACACAGACACAAACAGAGGGAGGGCCGUGGGAGCCCAGAGCAAGAAGGUGGCCAUCUACAAGCCCCUGAGCAAGGCUGCGGGAGAAGCCAGCCCCGCUCACACCUU